This 245-nucleotide ribosomal RNA is filed under the name uncultured Fretibacterium sp. RNAcentral describes it as "partial 16S ribosomal RNA". It matches the Rfam family "Bacterial small subunit ribosomal RNA", at positions 524 to 769 of the family's 1533-position model. Lineage: Bacteria; Thermotogati; Synergistota; Synergistia; Synergistales; Aminobacteriaceae. The record is from RNAcentral.
UACGUAGGGGGCGAGCGUUGUCCGGAAUUACUGGGCGUAAAGGGCACGUAGGCGGUGCCUCAAGUCAUUUGUAAAGAGAUGCGGCUUAACCGUGUUGAGCAAGUGAGACUGAGGGGCUGGAGUGCCGGAGAGGCAAGCGGAAUUCCCAGUGUAGCGGUGAAAUGCGUAGAUAUUGGGAAGAACAUCGGUGGCGAAGGCGGCUUGCUGGCCGGUAACUGACGCUGAGGUGCGAAAGCCAGGGUAGC